UAGUCGAAUCACAUUCUAAAGAAGUGGUCCAGGGCAUAAAAUAAAGGGUAACAUAAAAAGAUGGUGGCUUUACCCCUACGCCGACUACAAUUGGAACCAUUUGCAGCCCAGUAGAGUAGCGAUGAGGUCCGGCAGGACUAACGCCUAUCCUCCCUAGUUUUCGUUCUCAACAACGAUGGACACCCGUGUCCCCCAAAAAACUAAGGCGAUCGGGACAAGGUUCGACGUUUUUCCACCAGUGCAGCGUCUUUGGUUUCCCUUGCUUUCCUCUGUGUGUCGAGUGUGUCUUUACUUUUCCGGUUCUUUUCUAGUUGUCUUUGGGUGUCCUCACUAGUUUCUGGGGCACCGUCUAUGGAAUCUCUGAUGUUAGAAAAUAGAAAAUAAAUAAAAAUUCAAGAAUGGGUGAAAAACAGAUAUGGAUAGGACACUACUCUAGCUCUCAUAAGAUAUUGUUGGUUGGAGAGGGAGACUUCUCAUUUUCUGCUUGUUUGGCUCGAGCUUUUCGCUCUGCCACUAACAUGGUUGCAACCACUCUUGAAUCGGAAGAUACUCUAUUGAAGGAACAUUGGAGCAGUGAGGCACAUGUGGAUGAGUUGCAGAGAAGAGGAUGCAAAGUGUUGCAUGAAGUUGAUGUAUAUGACAUGGACCAGCAUCCCACCCUUAUGUUCAUGAAAUUUGAUAUGAUCGUCUUCAACUUUCCUCAUGCAGGCCAUGACUAUUGGCUAUGCGAAAGAGACAAUGAGCUCAUACGAAGGCACAGGGGUUUGCUAGAAGCAUUUUUCCGAAGUGCCAGUGGGAUGCUGGUCGAAGGUGGGGAAAUUCAUGUUUCACACAGAGAAGACUACCCUUAUGAUAAAUGGAAGUUGAAGGAGCUUGCUAAGAAAGCCGGCCUGGUUUUGAAAGAGAAAGUGUGGUUCGAAAAGUCGGACUACCCUGGGUACCACCAGAAGAGAGGUGGAGGCAUCAAAAGCAACAAAACAUUUCCUCUCAAAGAAUGUUACACCUUCAAGUUUUCACUGAAACAUGAAACAAGUGUCCUUGAUUCAGAAGAAGCAACUUCAAAAUUGCAGAGGAAGCUAGAGGAAUUACACCUUCCCCAGCACAAAACAUUUAUUCCUCCAAAUCACAUCCAUGUUCCUGAAUCUGAAAGAUUCAAGUUGACUUUUGGAAGUUUUGGGGCUGCUGACUUUGUCAGUGGUCCUGAGACUGAUAAGAGCUCGCAUAUUAUGAGUGGAUGUGGGUUGAGGGUUUCAAUCUCAAACAGAGUGAGGAAGACGAUCCAGGACAUCAAGGAGAUAACGGGAAAUCAUAGUGAGGAGGAAAUCUAUGAAAUGCUCAAGAGAUGUUACAUGGAUCCCAACGAGACCGCCCAGAAGCUUCUCUAUCAAGGAUUUGAGCUCACACUUUGUUGGUUCAUAGCAAUCAUGUUCAGGCAUUUCAGAAUGACUUUUUUUUGGCCGUACAUUUCAGAAUGGCUAGUGCAUCACGUCCGGUACAUUUAGAAAAUUUGAACUUAAUUUUACCCUAAACUUGUGGCUAUUUUUGGGGUGCAGAAGUAAGCUCCAACUUGCACUUAUAUGAAAAUACUUCUCUCCUUUCCGUGUAAGUAGAAACUCCCAGUAUGACAUGUGUACAUAAGUUUUUUUGGUAUGUGUUUUUAAUGAAUUAUUUUGGCAUAUAUGUCAAACCGUGAUUUGCAAGGAGGAGCAUCUCCUUAACUUGUCAUUGCAAUUUGCAAUGGGCUCUGUGAAGUGGUCUUUUCCUUGGAUAGGGUUUGAUUUUUAACUGAAUAAUGCUUCCCUCCUUCUUGCCUAAUGAUGUAACUCAACCACAAUCUGAGACGUGUCUAGUAUUAUUGUCUUGGAGUAUAAACUCCAACUAGAUCCAUUUCAUGAGGUCAAAGGGAAACGUGACAAGAGAAAAGAGAAACUGAACAACAUAGAGUCUGCAGAGUCGCCGUGGAGAUCUGGAAUGCAGGGACGGG
Molecule: RNA transcript, 1984 nt
Organism: Prunus dulcis (almond)
Lineage: Eukaryota; Viridiplantae; Streptophyta; Magnoliopsida; Rosales; Rosaceae
Exons: 7
Source: RefSeq, a predicted model, not a curated record